UCGAUGAAGAACGCAGCGAAAUGCGAUAAUUAAUGUGAAUUGCAGAAUUCAGUGAAUCAUCGAAUCUUUGAACGCACCUUGCGCUCCUUGGUAUUCCAAGGAGCAUGCCUGUUUGAGUGUCAUUAAAUUCUCAAUCCUUUUUCAUUGUAAUGAAGGCUUGGACUUGGAGUGUUUGCUGUGCUUGACAAAAGUGCGGCUCCUCUUAAAUUUAUUAGCUGUUGCCCUCCUUUAUAGGCUUUGGUUUGAUAAUUAUCUAUGCCAUCGCUUGUGGAAGCAAGCAAACAAUUGGCUUCUAAUGGUCUUUCUGAGACAAUUCUUUGACAUUUGACCUCAAAUCAGGUAGGACUACCCGCUGAACUUAA
This 362-nucleotide ribosomal RNA is filed under the name uncultured Hygrophorus. RNAcentral's name for it is "eukaryotic LSU rRNA". The stretch from base 1 to 122 matches the Rfam family "5.8S ribosomal RNA", at positions 33 to 154 of the family's 154-position model. The record is from RNAcentral. Lineage: Eukaryota; Fungi; Basidiomycota; Agaricomycetes; Agaricales; Hygrophoraceae.